ACGAGUGGCGAACGGGUGAGUAAUACAUCGGAACGUGCCCAGUCGUGGGGGAUAACUACUCGAAAGAGUAGCUAAUACCGCAUACGAUCUGAGGAUGAAAGCGGGGGACCUUCGGGCCUCGCGCGAUUGGAGCGGCCGAUGGCAGAUUAGGUAGUUGGUGGGAUAAAAGCUUACCAAGCCGACGAUCUGUAGCUGGUCUGAGAGGACGACCAGCCACACUGGGACUGAGACACGGCCCAGACUCCUACGGGAGGCAGCAGUGGGGAAUUUUGGACAAUGGGCGAAAGCCUGAUCCAGCAAUGCCGCGUGCAGGAUGAAGGCCUUCGGGUUGUAAACUGCUUUUGUACGGAACGAAAAAGCUUCUCCUAAUACGAGAGGCCCAUGACGGUACCGUAAGAAUAAGCU
This 405-nucleotide ribosomal RNA is filed under the name bacterium CYB32. RNAcentral describes it as "bacterial SSU rRNA". It matches the Rfam family "Bacterial small subunit ribosomal RNA", at positions 91 to 492 of the family's 1533-position model. The record is from RNAcentral.